GACGUAGGGCGCGAGCGUUGUCCGGAUUUAUUGGGCGUAAAGAGCUCGUAGGCGGUCUGUCGCGUCGGCUGUGAAAUCCCGAGACUCAACCUCGGGUCUGCAGUCGAUACGGGCAAACUUGAGUGUUGCAGGGGAGACUGGAAUUCCUGGUGUAGCGGUGAAAUGCGCAGAUAUCAGGAGGAACACCGGUGGCGAAGGCGGGUCUCUGGGCAACAACUGACGCUGAGGAGCGAAAGCGUGGGGAGCGAACAGG
This 253-nucleotide ribosomal RNA is filed under the name uncultured bacterium. RNAcentral's name for it is "partial 16S ribosomal RNA". It matches the Rfam family "Bacterial small subunit ribosomal RNA", at positions 524 to 776 of the family's 1533-position model. The record is from RNAcentral.